Podospora anserina is the source of this 105-nucleotide transfer RNA. It matches the Rfam family "tRNA". From Rfam's summary of the family: Transfer RNA (tRNA) molecules are approximately 80 nucleotides in length. Their secondary structure includes four short double-helical elements and three loops (D, anti-codon, and T loops). Lineage: Eukaryota; Fungi; Ascomycota; Sordariomycetes; Sordariales; Podosporaceae. The record is from Rfam.
UCCCAUAUGGUGUAGUGGUCAGCAUAUCAGGCUUUCAGUCAUCCUUGAGAUUAUCUCAGGAUCUGAUACUCCCUGAAGUCCCGGGUUCAAUUCCCGGUGUGGGAA